Molecule: ribosomal RNA, 319 nt
Filed under: uncultured soil bacterium
Lineage: Bacteria
Description: bacterial SSU rRNA
Rfam family: Bacterial small subunit ribosomal RNA
Source: RNAcentral
AGAUUGAACGCUGGCGGCAGGCCUAACACAUGCAAGUCGAGCGGUAGAGAGGUGCUUGCAUCUCUUGAGAGCGGCGGACGGGUGAGUAAUGCCUAGGAAUCUGCCUAGUGGUGGGGGAUAACGUUCGGAAACGGACGCUAAUACCGCAUACGUCCUACGGGAGAAAGCGGGGGACCUUCGGGCCUCGCGCCAUUAGAUGAGCCUAGGUCGGAUUAGCCAGUUGGUGAGGUAAUGGCUCACCAAGGCGACGAUCCGUAACUGGUCUGAGAGGAUGAUCAGUCACACUGGAACUGAGACACGGUCCAGACUCCGUACGGGA